UACGGAGGGUGCAAGCGUUAUCCGGAUUCACUGGGUUUAAAGGGUGCGUAGGUGGGUUGGUAAGUCAGUGGUGAAAUCCCCGGGCUUAACCUGGGAAUGGCCUAUGUGACUGGCAGGCUAGAGGAUGGCAGAGGGAGGCGGAAUGCCACGUGUAGCAGUGAAAUGCGUAGAGAUGUGGCGGAACACCGAUGGCGAAGGCAGCCUCCUGGGCCAAUCCUGACGCUCAGGCACGAAAGCGUGGGGAGCAAACAGG
RNAcentral lists this ribosomal RNA (253 nucleotides) under uncultured bacterium. Its description in RNAcentral is "partial 16S ribosomal RNA". It matches the Rfam family "Bacterial small subunit ribosomal RNA", at positions 524 to 776 of the family's 1533-position model. The record is from RNAcentral.